This 70-nucleotide transfer RNA is filed under the name Ictidomys tridecemlineatus (thirteen-lined ground squirrel). RNAcentral's name for it is "Spermophilus tridecemlineatus (thirteen-lined ground squirrel) tRNA". It matches the Rfam family "tRNA". From Rfam's summary of the family: Transfer RNA (tRNA) molecules are approximately 80 nucleotides in length. Their secondary structure includes four short double-helical elements and three loops (D, anti-codon, and T loops). Lineage: Eukaryota; Metazoa; Chordata; Mammalia; Rodentia; Sciuridae. The record is from Rfam by way of RNAcentral.
GGGGUUAUGGCUCAAUGGUAGAGCACUCACCUCAUACAUGUGAGGCCCUGGGUUCAAUUCCUCAGCACCA